Molecule: small nuclear RNA, 106 nt
Organism: Cynocephalus volans (Philippine flying lemur)
Lineage: Eukaryota; Metazoa; Chordata; Mammalia; Dermoptera; Cynocephalidae
Source: RefSeq, a predicted model, not a curated record
GUGCUCGCUUUGGCAGCACAUACACCAAAACUGGAACGAUACAGAGAAGACGGCAUGGCUCUUGUGCAAGGAUGACAUGCAAAUUUAUGGAGUACUCCAUAUUUUU